UUUUCUUUUAAAUAUCCCCCUCUCAUCCUCAGGUGCCAGGUGUUCUGUGGGACAGUCACUGGGGCAGCUCAAGGAAACUGGUGUGAAGCCACCGUGUGGGGACAGCCUGGCCCUUGGUGGCAAUAAGCAAGUGGCGGCUCCCAUGGGUCAUGCUCCAGGUUGUCUAAGGGGUGGCGAGGGUGGACAGGACAGCUCCCACCAGCCCCUGCCUCUGACCCCUGGAGAGGGUGCGAGCAGGGGGAAGCAGCCUGGCUUGAAGUAAGGAUUCUCCAGCAGCACCAGGUACCCAUCUGCCUCUGUCGCCAGGCAAGAGUGCAACAGGUCCUCAUGGCUCUCUUGAGCUCUGCACAGACCACGUCAGUUGGCUCUGUGCCCUCAGGGUCAGUGAAGAUGGGAGAAGGGCAGAGUGCGGAGGGGGCGGGGUGAGCAGCCUCUCCUCAGCAAUCCCAGGGCAGGGGCAGCGGGCAGCACAGAGCCCUGUUGGCACCUCGCCCAGACCUGCAGUGCCCACCCACUGCCAGUGUUAGUGUGUGAAGUGGGGGUGAAGGGGAGAAAGAAAUCACAGGCACGCCCCCUUCCUGUACUUAUUAGAGAUUAACAGUCAUCAGAGAAGUACAGAUAAGGAAGCAUUCUCAAGGGAAAAACCUGAUGUAAACCCAGGAAAGUAGCAGCAAAGAUUUCACUCGGUGAAGAUCUAGUCUACAGCACUAGAAAAGAAAAUCUUUGGGGGUGGUUAAAGCAAUUAGUCAAACCGUAGCAGUUAGAAACUUUCUCAAGUUAGGAUUUUCUAAGACUUUAGGGUCUCAUUCUCUAGUGCCAAUAAAAGAAAACAAGUUACUAAGGCUGGGAGGGUUAGGCUGAGAAACACGCCCUGUGAGCAGCAGCAUGGGACAGACU
Long non-coding RNA from Octodon degus (degu), 897 nucleotides. RefSeq lists it as uncharacterized. The record is from RefSeq and is a predicted model, not a curated record. NCBI's taxonomy places the organism in Eukaryota, Metazoa, Chordata, Mammalia, Rodentia, Octodontidae. The transcript has 3 exons.